This 479-nucleotide ribosomal RNA is filed under the name uncultured bacterium. RNAcentral describes it as "bacterial SSU rRNA". It matches the Rfam family "Bacterial small subunit ribosomal RNA", at positions 325 to 793 of the family's 1533-position model. The record is from RNAcentral.
CACUGUCACUCCUACGGGGAGGCAGCAGUCGGGGAAUAUUGCACAAUGGGCGCAAGCCUGAUGCAGCCAUGCCGCGUGUGUGAAGAAGGCCUUCGGGUUGUAAAGCACUUUCAGUCGUGAGGAAGGCGGGUACGUUAAUAGCGUAUUCGUUUGACGUUAGCGACAGAAGAAAGCACCGGCUAACUCCGUGCCAGCAGCCGCGGUAAUACGGAGGGUGCGAGCGUUAAUCGGAAUUACUGGGCGUAAAGCGCAUGCAGGUGGUUUGUUAAGUCAGAUGUGAAAGCCCGGGGCUCAACCUCGGAAUUGCAUUUGAAACUGGCAGACUAGAGUACUGUAGAGGGGGGUAGGAAUUUCAGGUGUAGCGGUGAAAUAGCGUAGAGAUCUGAAGGAAUACCGGUGGCGAAGGCGGCCCCCUCGGACAGAUACUGACACUCAGAUGCGAAAGCGUGGGGAGCAAACAGGAUUAGAUACCCUGGUAG